CGACGUGAGCAACCUGCCUUUCAGUGGGGGACAACAGUUGGAAACGACUGCUAAUACCGCAUAAUGCAUUUUUGACCGCAUGGUCGAGAUGCCAAAGAUUUAUUGCUGAAAGAUGGGCUCGCGUCUGAUUAGAUAGUUGGUGAGGUAACGGCCCACCAAGUCGACGAUCAGUAGCCGGACUGAGAGGUUGAACGGCCACAUUGGGACUGAGAUACGGCCCAG
Molecule: ribosomal RNA, 222 nt
Filed under: uncultured bacterium
Lineage: Bacteria
Description: partial 16S ribosomal RNA
Rfam family: Bacterial small subunit ribosomal RNA
Source: RNAcentral